AUACACAUCAGAUGAUCAGAUCCUGGAUUAAGAUCAAACCUGUAGCGAAGCUAGCUCCUCAGAAAAGGAUCGCCGAUUUGCCUGAUCGCCUCCUCUCCCCUCCCCUCGGCACGGAUGUGUGAAAACAAGAAGGCGAAUCAACCACCAUCCACAGGUAGUUAUGCCAUUACGCAAAAAUGUGGAGAAGGGGUGUAUAACCAACCUGCGACCCCUCGAUCUUUGCAGGUCCUUUGCCCUCUUCUUGUAGCGGUUGAUAUCAGGCGAUGCGGCGGAUGGGAGAACGCGUCCGCGCAAGCGCACGGGCGAACGCGUCUCCGGGAAUUCGUCGUUGGCUGGCCAUCUCGAUGUUUUCGAUUGACGAAUUUUUUGACCAACAACAAACGUGGGCGUACAGGGAAGGAGAAGGAAUGCACCAGGGGACAGGCGCUGAUGUGAUGGAAGACGGGCGAAAUUUGGGUGGCGCCGGCGGGCGGCAGUUGGAACUUGACCGAUACAGACGUUCCUUGGCGGAGGACUCAGUCCGGCGUCCGUUUAGAGAUCCGCAUCCUACUCCCUCCAGAAG
RNAcentral lists this long non-coding RNA (562 nucleotides) under Hordeum vulgare. RNAcentral's name for it is "long non-coding RNA (HVUL_LNC007676)". Lineage: Eukaryota; Viridiplantae; Streptophyta; Magnoliopsida; Poales; Poaceae. The record is from RNAcentral.